GACGAACGCUGGCGGCGUGCCUAACACAUGCAAGUCGAACGGAAAGGACGUGCUUUUGUGCGGUGCUCGAGUGGCGAACGGGUGAGUAACACGUGAGUAACCUGCCCUUGACUUUGGGAUAACUUCAGGAAACUGGGGCUAAUACCGGAUAGGAGCUCCUGCUGCAUGGUGGGGGUGGGAAAGUUUCGGCGGUUGGGGAUGGACUCGCGGCUUAUCAGCUUGUUGGUGGGGUAGUGGCUUACCAAGGCUUUGACGGGUAGCCGGCCUGAGAGGGUGACCGGCCACAUUGGGACUGAGAUACGGCCCAGACUCGUACGGGAGGCAGCGGUGGGGAAUAUUGCACAAUGGGAGGAAGCCUGAUGCAGCACCGCCGCGUGCGGGAUGACGGCCUUCGGGUUGUAAACCGCUUUCGCCUGUGACGAAGCGUGAGUGACGGUAAUGGGUGAAGAAGCACCGGCUAACUACGUG
Molecule: ribosomal RNA, 468 nt
Filed under: uncultured bacterium
Lineage: Bacteria
Description: partial 16S ribosomal RNA
Rfam family: Bacterial small subunit ribosomal RNA
Source: RNAcentral